RNAcentral lists this ribosomal RNA (352 nucleotides) under uncultured bacterium. Its description in RNAcentral is "bacterial SSU rRNA". It matches the Rfam family "Bacterial small subunit ribosomal RNA", at positions 8 to 350 of the family's 1533-position model. The record is from RNAcentral.
AGAGUUUGAUCCUGGCUCAGGAUGAACGCUAGCUACAGGCUUAACACAUGCAAGUCGAGGGGAAACGACAUCGAAAGCUUGCUUUUGAUGGGCGUCGACCGGCGCACGGGUGAGUAACGCGUAUCCAACCUGCCCACCACUUGGGGAUAACCUUGCGAAAGUAAGACUAAUACCCAAUGACGUCUCUAGAAGACAUCUGAAGGAGAAUUAAAGAUUUAUCGGUGAUGGAUGGGGAUGCGUCUGAUUAGCUUGUUGGCGGGGUAACGGCCACCAAGGCGACGAUCAGUAGGGUUCUGAGAGGACGGUCCCCANAUUGGAACUGAGACACGGUCCAAACUCCGUACGGGAGGCA